GCCGGGGUAGCUCAGGCGGUAAGAGCGCGUGACUCAUAAUCACGAAGCCGCGGGUUCAAGCCCCGCCCCCGGCA
RNAcentral lists this transfer RNA (74 nucleotides) under Hadesarchaea archaeon. RNAcentral describes it as "tRNA-Met". It matches the Rfam family "tRNA". Rfam says of the family: Transfer RNA (tRNA) molecules are approximately 80 nucleotides in length. Lineage: Archaea; Methanobacteriati; Hadarchaeota (SeqCode); Hadarchaeia (SeqCode). The record is from RNAcentral.